RNAcentral lists this ribosomal RNA (603 nucleotides) under Triticum aestivum (bread wheat). RNAcentral describes it as "partial small subunit ribosomal RNA". Lineage: Eukaryota; Viridiplantae; Streptophyta; Magnoliopsida; Poales; Poaceae. The record is from RNAcentral.
AUGGCGGCGGCUGCGGCGGCGGCGUCUCUGGCGAUCCGUCUCACGGCGCUCGUCGUGGUGCUCGUCGUCUUCUGCCCGACGGCGUCCGCGGCGCCGAAGGGGAAGAAGUACAAGGUCGGCGGUCCUGACGGGUGGCGCGUGCCCCCGAAGGCGGACAAGGAGAUGGCGUACGUCAAGUGGGCGUCCAACAUAACCUUCUUCGUCGGGGACUCCGUCGAGUUCGUGUACAAGAACGACUCGGUGAUCAAGGUGAGCAAGGUUGGUUACUACCACUGCAACGAGACGGCGGGCAUCGGCACCGGCCCCGGGCCGAGGGAUGGCAAAACGCUCUUCAUCCUCGACGCGCCAGGCUUCGUCUACUUCGCCAGCUCCAACCUCAGACACUGCAAGGAUGGCCAGAAGCUCCUAAUUAAAGUCCUCGACCCCGAGCAGCGGCCGCCGGCAUCAGCAUCGUCGCCGUUAGAGGCCCCGACGGAUCGAUCAUCUCCGGAGCCAGGGCCGGCCUCCACGGAGCACUCAUCCGCCAUGGGAGGGCCAUUCGUGGCGCCUCUCGCCCGCGCCAUGGCACAAGCUGCAACAUUGGUCCUGGCCUGCUUUAUGUGA